Molecule: ribosomal RNA, 300 nt
Filed under: uncultured Acidimicrobiales bacterium
Lineage: Bacteria; Bacillati; Actinomycetota; Acidimicrobiia; Acidimicrobiales
Description: bacterial SSU rRNA
Rfam family: Bacterial small subunit ribosomal RNA
Source: RNAcentral
ACACGUGAGAAACCUGCCCUGGAGAUUGGGACAACCCGAGGAAACUCGGGCUAAUACCGAAUACCUUCACCGGACCGCAUGGUCUGGUGAAGAAAUGCUCCGGCGCUCUGGGAGGGUCUCGCGGCCUAUCAGCUAGUUGGUGAGGUAACGGCUCACCAAGGGCAUCGACGGGUAGCUGGUCUGAGAGGACGAUCAGCCACACUGGGACUGAGACACGGCCCAGACUCCUACGGGAGGCAGCAGUAGGGAAUCUUGCGCAAUGGGCGAAAGCCUGACGCAGCAACGCCGCGUGGGGGAUGA